GAUGAACGCUAGCGGCAGGCUUAACACAUGCAAGUCGAGGGGCAGCGCGGGAGUAGCAAUACUUCUGGCGGCGACCGGCGGAAGGGUGCGUAACGCGUGAGCAACAUUCCCGCAUCUGGGGGAUAAGCACUGGAAACGGUGUCUAAUACCCCAUAACAACGGAUUCCACAUGGAGACCGUUUGAAAGCUGCGACGGAUGCGGAUUGGCUCGCGUGACAUUAGCUAGUCGGCGGGGUAACGGCCCACCGAGGCGACGAUGUCUAGGGGUUCUGAGAGGAAGGUCCCCCACACUGGAACUGAGACACGGUCCAGACUCCUACGGGAGGCAGCAGUGAGGAAUAUUGGUCAAUGGGCGGAAGCCUGAACCAGCCAUGCCGCGUGAAGGAAUAAGGCCCUAUGGGUCGUAAACUUCUUUUGUGGUGGAGCAAUAAGGGCUACGCGUAGUCCGAUGAGAGUACAUCACGAAUAAGCAUCGGCUAACUCCGUGCCAGCAGCCGCGGUAAUACGGAGGAUGCAAGCGUUAUCCGGAUUUAUUGGGUUUAAAGGGUGCGUAGGCUGUGCCGCAAGUCGGGGGUGAAAGCCCGGGGCCCAACCCCGGAACUGCCCUUGAUACUGCGGCGCUGGAGUUCGGAUGCCGUGGGAGGAAUGAGUAGUGUAGCGGUGAAAUGCAUAGAUAUUACUCAGAACACCGAUUGCGAAGGCAUCUCACGAAUCCGACACUGACGCUGAGGCACGAAAGCGUGGGGAUCAAACAGGAUUAGAUACCCUGGUAGUCCACGCAGUAAACGAUGUUGACUAACUGUCGGCGAUAAACAGUCGGUGGCCAAGCGAAGGCGAUAAGUCAUCCACCUCUGGGAGUACGUUCGCAAGAUGAAACUCAAGGAAUUGACGGGGGCCGCACAGCGGAGAACAUGGUGGUUAUUCGAUGAUCGCGAGACCUUACCCGGGCUCGA
Molecule: ribosomal RNA, 953 nt
Filed under: uncultured bacterium
Lineage: Bacteria
Description: bacterial SSU rRNA
Rfam family: Bacterial small subunit ribosomal RNA
Source: RNAcentral